GGCUGAUGAGGCAGGUUGCUGGGACCUGGUGCGAGGCAGCUGGAGCAUGGUGGAUGAGUGAAUGGACUGAUGUCAGCUUGGAUCUCGUUUCAUCAGCCCCGAAUGGCCCGGGAGAGCGGAGCAUCUGCAGAUCAGGUCACCGGAUAUUAGCCUGCAGCUAAGGCCCGACCGUUGAAACGCACAGCACAGCACAGCACGUCUUCCCCCUGCGCUGGGGGAUGCCCAGCCUGCCAUCCCACCCGUGGCUUCGGGGCGACAUGCACGGCUGCCAUGUUAUCGCCCACUCGCCAGCACCUUUCCUGCCUUGCUUGGAUCUAUUGAUUUCCUUUUGCUCUCCGUGCUCCCUGCCCAGAUCCACUCGGUACCUGCCUUUCAUCCGGGCCCUUGGCCAGAAAGAAAUGGAUUGGGACUAUCGCUGGUGAAGGGGUUAACUCGCCUUUCUUCUAACACCGAGACCAAAGGUUCCCUCCCCACACAUGCCCCUGUCAUCCAUUCCACCUCCCUGGGUUUGCAGAGCCCAGGUCCCUGGGGCUGGUCAGUUGUGCUCUGUCACCAUCUCCUCUCGCUCUCUCUGCUCCCUGUCUGUCUCGCCUGUAAUGGGAAAAGCACAGAAAUGAGGUAAUUUACAAGGUAAUUUAUGAGUCAAUGGGCUCAUCUGCUGCCUAUAAUCCUAGCUGGCAAUUGUGUGGAGUUUAUUUUCUCAGAUGCAAGCUUAAAAAAAGAGAAAGAUGAAGCGCACGCACAGGAUCUCAACAGUGUGGGCUGCUGGCGUUAAUGUUAUGGUACCCGGGAGAGGCCCUGUUGUGCCAGGCGCUGCACAGCGAGAGACAGUCCCUGCCUCAGAGAGAAUGCAGGUUCAAUAGACAAUGCAAAGCAAGGGUGGGAGGGGAAGUGACCUCCCUAACGUCACCCCCCAGGUUAGGGCUAGGACUAGCUUCUGAGUCUCCUGAAUCCCCACCCAGUGCACCACCCUCUAGCCCACGCUGCCUCAGGCUCUGCUAAGCUCUUUGCUUAGUGACUGUCUCCUGUUACAGAUUUGAUCAUGGCCCUUCAUUUAAAACAGCUGUGACAACAAUUACGCUUCUUUGUAGCAGCCCCCACCUAAAACUAAGGCCCGUGUGAGUCAGCCCGAGAAUUGGCACUAGAGGGGUAGAGGGCUUGGCUGGGUAUUGGUCUGGGUAAACGGGUGUGCGUAGGGGCUGCACACCCAGGAAGCGACUCAGCAGACGCACUGGAGGCAGGGACAGACGCAGGGGAGAAGCAGACAGACCCAGAGAAGGAAGGUGCACGGUGUGCUGGCGGGAAGAGGCUUUUUGGGCUGUGAGCACAGAAACCAUCUCCCGUUGUUUGGUCCCGUUCCCCCCCCCCCCCCCCCCGUGUUCAGGGAAACAGGACUUGGCACAGGCUUGGGAGAUAAACAGGUUUGCCUCAAAGGCACCUGACUCCAGCCUCGAUUUCUCCCACCCGGAACCACUCACAGGAUCCUGGAUUUUUGUCUAGCUGCUCAGGCCAAAGGGGGUAACAAUCCACACGUAUCCAUAACACCGUCAAACAGGCAGCCCCGGGCGGCCCCAUUCACCCAACCUAGGAAGAAUCAUAGGGCUCCUUUCCUGAAGGGCUUUGUGAGUGUUAAACGCACCCGCCACACCCUCCUCACCCGCGGUCCUCUGGCUGCCUUGAGGGUCAGGCGCUGGCAUUGGCCUCGGGGGCUCUGGGUGCAGUUCCCGGUUCUGCCACGCACCCCCUUGGGUGACCUUUGC
Mauremys reevesii (Reeves's turtle) is the source of this 1760-nucleotide long non-coding RNA. RefSeq lists it as uncharacterized. The transcript has 3 exons. The record is from RefSeq and is a predicted model, not a curated record. NCBI's taxonomy places the organism in Eukaryota, Metazoa, Chordata, Testudines, Geoemydidae.